GGAAUUGACGGGGCCCGCACAAGCGGUGGAGUAUGUGGUUUAAUUCGAUGCAACGCGAAGAACCUUACCUGGUCUUGACAUCCCGGAGACCCUUAGGAAACUAGGGGGUGCUUCCAUCUGGAAGAAUCUGGAGACAGGUGCUGCAUGGCUGUCGUCAGCUCGUGUCGUGAGAUGUUGGGUUAAGUCCCGUAACGAGCGCAACCCUUGCCCUUAGUUACCAGCACGUUAUGGUGGGCACUCUAAGGAGACUGCCGGUGACAAACCGGAGGAAGGUGGGGAUGACGUCAAGUCCUCAUGGCCUUUAUGACCAGGGCUACACACGUACUACAAUGGCCGAUACAAAGGGCAGCGACACUGCGAGGUGAAGCCAAUCCCGUAAAAUCGGUCUCAGUCCGGAUUGGAGUCUGCAACUCGACUCCAUGAAGUUGGAAUCGCUAGUAAUCGUGGAUCAGCAUGCCACGGUGAAUACGUUCCCGGGCCUU
This 482-nucleotide ribosomal RNA is filed under the name uncultured Desulfobulbus sp. Its description in RNAcentral is "bacterial SSU rRNA". It matches the Rfam family "Bacterial small subunit ribosomal RNA", at positions 906 to 1382 of the family's 1533-position model. Lineage: Bacteria; Pseudomonadati; Thermodesulfobacteriota; Desulfobulbia; Desulfobulbales; Desulfobulbaceae. The record is from RNAcentral.